Molecule: long non-coding RNA, 373 nt
Organism: Meleagris gallopavo (turkey)
Lineage: Eukaryota; Metazoa; Chordata; Aves; Galliformes; Phasianidae
Source: RefSeq, a predicted model, not a curated record
CCGGCCCCGCCGCCAUGGCGCUGGCGCAGGGCGGUGCUGUGGAGGAGUUCUCGCCGUCGGGCUGUGGGCAGCGCCAUCCGUCGUCUCUUCAUCUGGGACGAGCACGAAAACGGUAGGUGAGAAGGGGACCUGCCUCAGCGGCCGGGAGCUGCCAGAGGUCAUAGGAUAGUAGAAUAUCCCCAACUGGAAGUGACCUACAAGGAUCGUCGAGUUUAACUCUGGGCUCCACACAGGACCACCCAAAGUCAAACCCUAUGACUGGUCUAUUCUGAGAGUCUCACCUGGGCUACAUCCAAAGAGAAACCUUUCAUCCACGCAUCCUGCUUCAGGCUGGGAGACACAGUCCCACCUGCUCCAUCCUGCAGAGCCUGGG